UCGCCAAUGUAUUUGCUCUAUUCUGGCUG
RNAcentral lists this non-coding RNA (29 nucleotides) under Rattus norvegicus (Norway rat). The record is from RNAcentral. Lineage: Eukaryota; Metazoa; Chordata; Mammalia; Rodentia; Muridae.